This is a long non-coding RNA of Cyprinus carpio carpio, 866 nucleotides long. Lineage: Eukaryota; Metazoa; Chordata; Actinopteri; Cypriniformes; Cyprinidae. The record is from Ensembl.
AUUAAAGUUUAUGAAAAAAGAAUGAAUGUAUAUGCAUUUUUGAUUUAUUUACAUAAAUGAAACAUUUUCAAGUCUUUGAACAGAUCUUGAAGUAUUUGCUGUCCUGUGGCGCCAUCGAGUGGACAACAUUAACAUUGUGCCCUUCAUUUUUGAACAACAUUAUGAAAGGGGGGAAUAUUUUUUGAUUGAUUAUAAAUAUUUAAUGAUUAGUUUACUGAUAAUAUACCCACAUUAAAAUCGAAUUUACUGAUUCUGUAUCUUAUUUCAUGCUUAAUCAUGAGUUUAAUUUUCAACUUACAUUUUUAAGCAGUGUUGAAUGAUUACUAUGUGAGUUGCUAAAUUUGUUUUGUUUUUACAAUUAUAAUACAUAAACUAUAUAAUGAUGAAAAAUACAACAUUUAUUGUUUUCAUAAUAUUUACUAUUGACAAUCGUUAUUCUGUAUUGUAAAGAAGAAGGUUUUUAUGACAACAAAAAUGGUCAUUACUAAAAAUUCAAAUUUAAUUUAAAUUAUAGUUUUAUUUUUCUAUAGGUUAAGCACCUUUUUGUAAAUAUGGCUGUUUCCCAGUUUUAUUUUUUUUUUUGUUUGUUUGUUUUUUUGUUUUUUUUUUUAGGAUUUACAUUUAAAAAAAUGAGCCUACUUCAAACAUUUUAAGCAGCUUGAACAAAACCUGUUAAUAUUUAUUAUAGACCACUGUAACUGUCUAUUAUCUAAAAAAAAAAACAAAUUUAUUAUGAAAAUAAAAGUGUGUACACCAGUUAAACUGGACGAUAAAGAAAUUGCUAACAAUAGUUUAAUAGAGCAUGUUUUAGGUUUAUAGGUGUUUAGAUGCAGAAAUUUAAUUUAAUUAAAUAUAGAUUAAUUCUU